GACGAACGCUGGCGGCGUGCUUAACACAUGCAAGUCGAACGGAAAGGCCCUGCUUUUGUGGGGUGCUCGAGUGGCGAACGGGUGAGUAACACGUGAGUAACCUGCCCUUGACUUUGGGAUAACUUCAGGAAACUGGGGCUAAUACCGGAUAGGAGCUCCUGCUGCAUGGUGGGGGUUGGAAAGUUUCGGCGGUUGGGGAUGGACUCGCGGCUUAUCAGCUUGUUGGUGGGGUAGUGGCUUACCAAGGCUUUGACGGGUAGCCGGCCUGAGAGGGUGACCGGCGACCUUGGGACUGAGAUACGGCCCAGAAUCCUACGGGACGCAGCAGGGGGGAAUAUUGCAGAAUGGGCGGAAGCCUGAUGCAGCAACGCCGCGUGCGGGAUAACGGCCUACGGGUUGUAAACCGCUUUCGCCUGUGACGAAGCGUGAGUGACGGUAAUGGGUAAAGAAGCACCGGCUAACUACGUG
This 468-nucleotide ribosomal RNA is filed under the name uncultured bacterium. RNAcentral describes it as "partial 16S ribosomal RNA". It matches the Rfam family "Bacterial small subunit ribosomal RNA", at positions 28 to 507 of the family's 1533-position model. The record is from RNAcentral.